Molecule: ribosomal RNA, 244 nt
Filed under: uncultured bacterium
Lineage: Bacteria
Description: partial 16S ribosomal RNA
Rfam family: Bacterial small subunit ribosomal RNA
Source: RNAcentral
UGCGGGAGGGGAAAGGGGGGAUGCAAGACCUCUUGAUUGGGAGGGAGAUAUCAGGUUGCUGUGGUGGGGUAAAGGCUCUCAAGGCGACGAUGGUAGGUGUGGAGAGGAGGACCACCCCCACUGGAAUGAGACACGGUCCAGACUCUUCGGGAGGCAGCAGUGGGGAAUUUUGACAAUGGGCGCAAGCUUGAUCCAGCCAUACCGCGUAGUAAGAAGGCCUCGGGUUUAAAGUUUUUCAGCCGGA